GCAAACUUGGUCAUUUAGAGGAAGUAAAAGUCGUAACAAGGUUUCCGUAGGUGAACCUGCGGAAGGAUCAUUAUUGAAUUAUAAAACUUGGUCUAGUUACUGUUGCUGGCUCCCUAGGGAGCAUGUGCACGUUUCUAUUCCGACUUUUUAAAUUCUUACCCACCUGUGCACUCUGUGUAGAUCUUUUUUGAAAAUGAACCCCCCCUCUCGAGUUUGCAAUAUAACUCGGAUUAGAAGAAUUGCUUGUCAGGCUUUUCUUCAAUUUAUUUUCUAAAAAAGAUCUAUGUCAUUAUCCAUAUAACCCAAGUCUUAGAAUGUUUUUGGAUGCGUAUACAAUAUAAUAUACAACUUUCAACAACGGAUCUCUUGGCUCUCGCAUCGAUGAAGAACGCAGC
This 395-nucleotide unclassified non-coding RNA is filed under the name uncultured fungus. Its description in RNAcentral is "partial contains small subunit ribosomal RNA, internal transcribed spacer 1, and 5.8S ribosomal RNA". The stretch from base 1 to 73 matches the Rfam family "Eukaryotic small subunit ribosomal RNA", at positions 1759 to 1831 of the family's 1831-position model. Lineage: Eukaryota; Fungi. The record is from RNAcentral.